CAGACCUCUAAUCGGAAAAGACUACCCGCUGAGUUUAAGCAUAUCAUUAAGCGGAGGAGAAGAAACUAACCAGGAUUUCCC
Molecule: ribosomal RNA, 81 nt
Filed under: Scorpidium scorpioides
Lineage: Eukaryota; Viridiplantae; Streptophyta; Bryopsida; Hypnales; Amblystegiaceae
Description: partial 25S ribosomal RNA
Rfam family: Eukaryotic large subunit ribosomal RNA
Source: RNAcentral